UGUCAGAUGUGCGCGUUAGGGAUAGAAGCGAAAAGCCCACAGCCUGACGAAGGAAGUGCGAGGACUUGCAGCGGAUAGCCCGACCGGAG
RNAcentral lists this unclassified non-coding RNA (89 nucleotides) under Flavobacterium pectinovorum. RNAcentral's name for it is "Flavo-1 RNA". Lineage: Bacteria; Pseudomonadati; Bacteroidota; Flavobacteriia; Flavobacteriales; Flavobacteriaceae. The record is from RNAcentral.